GCUGGUCGUUACCCCUGCACUACUUCCAGGUGGUGACCUGGGCUGUCUUCGUGGGCCUUUCCUUGGCCAAGAAGAUGACCACCUUUGAGUAUCUCAUUAAUACCCGCAAAGAAGAGAGUUCAAAACAUCCAGCAGUGAGGAAAGAUCCAUACGUGCAAAUGGACAAAGGAUUUCUCCAGCAAGGAGAUGGCGCCCUGGGCUCAUCUGCACAGGG
RNAcentral lists this small RNA (214 nucleotides) under Pan troglodytes (chimpanzee). RNAcentral's name for it is "processed transcript". Lineage: Eukaryota; Metazoa; Chordata; Mammalia; Primates; Hominidae. The record is from RNAcentral.